CGACGAGUAGGUCAGUGGCCAGACCGCCUCUCUUACAAGGAGGAUGCCGGAGGUUCGACUCCUCCCUCGUCGA
RNAcentral lists this transfer RNA (73 nucleotides) under uncultured Acidimicrobiales bacterium. RNAcentral describes it as "tRNA-Val-TAC". It matches the Rfam family "tRNA". Rfam says of the family: Transfer RNA (tRNA) molecules are approximately 80 nucleotides in length. Their secondary structure includes four short double-helical elements and three loops (D, anti-codon, and T loops). RNAcentral also lists the same sequence under 1 other name. Lineage: Bacteria; Bacillati; Actinomycetota; Acidimicrobiia; Acidimicrobiales. The record is from RNAcentral.